UUUAAACCCGUAACCCACAAAUCCGCACGGUAAAAGCCCGCACGAACCCGUCCAUUUAUUCAAUCCGUGCUAAGAAAGCCCGCACGCAAAAAGCCCGCAAAUUAACGGGCUUUGCUUGCUAAGCCCACUGGAACCCGUUGGAACCCAUUUACUUCCAAAAACACCCAGUUCGACCCUUUCCGUCAUUCGGCAACCACAAUAAACGCGAGCAGCCGAGCACAGCAGCCUCCCUUUUCGUGCGCCCUUUUCUUUUCCGUCACCCAAAACCCAUCUCUCUCUCUCUCUCUUUGCCCGCCCAAUUUCUCAAGAUUUCUGGGUUUUUGUUGUGAUAUGGGAAUUUGAAACGAAACAGGGGAAUGAAGAAAAGAGUUGAGAUUUUGAGGCUGGAAUUUUUGGUUUGUCGAAACGGUGAAUUCAGAGAUGGAAUUGAUCUGAGAACAAUGUUGUUGGUUGUUUAUUGUAGUCUACAACCCGCAUAGGAGCUGUCCUGCCAAUCUCUUGAUCUGCUGGUCUAACGGAAGGGGUCUGUUCUUCCCUACUGAUGACAUUGAGAGACUGUAAAAUUAGCAAAAUUUUCGUUAUUGGACGGAAUAUAUAAUUACAGGUUCUUUUAGCUGUUAAAAUUUCUUUACUUCUCUUUUGUACAUUGCUUGUAACACUAAAAGGUAAAAUGAGAGCAAUGUUUACCUUUUGGAGCAAAAACAGUCAAG
Long non-coding RNA from Rosa rugosa (rugosa rose), 710 nucleotides. RefSeq lists it as uncharacterized. NCBI's taxonomy places the organism in Eukaryota, Viridiplantae, Streptophyta, Magnoliopsida, Rosales, Rosaceae. The transcript has 2 exons. The record is from RefSeq and is a predicted model, not a curated record.